CCUACGGGAGGCAGCAGUGAGGAAUAUUGGUCAAUGGACGAGAGUCUGAACCAGCCAAGUAGCGUGAAGGAUGACUGCCCUAUGGGUUGUAAACUUCUUUUAUAUGGGAAUAAAAUGUUCCACGUGUGGGAUUUGGUAGGUACCACAUGAAUAAGGAACGGCUAAAUGCGCACCAGCAGCCGCGGUAAUACGGAGGAUCCGAGCGUUAUCCGGUUUUAUUGGGUUUAAAGGGAGCGUAGGUGGAUAGUUAAGUCAGUUGUGAAAGUUGGCGGCUCAACCGUAAAAUUACAGUUGAAACUGGCAGUCUUGAGUACAGUAGAGGUAGGCGGAAUUCGUGGUGUAGCGGUGAAAUGCUUAGAUAUCAGGAAGAACUCCGAUUGCGAAGGCAGCUCACUGGACUGCAACUGACACUGAGGCUCGAAAGUGUGGGUAUCAAACAGGAUUAGAUACCCCUGUAGUC
RNAcentral lists this ribosomal RNA (460 nucleotides) under uncultured bacterium. RNAcentral's name for it is "partial 16S ribosomal RNA". It matches the Rfam family "Bacterial small subunit ribosomal RNA", at positions 338 to 795 of the family's 1533-position model. The record is from RNAcentral.